AGGCCGGCUGGCCGCAGGGGAACCUUUCCUCUCCGGGUUCAGGGUCCGGGAGCAAACCCCGAGCUGCGGCAAAAAGGGCUGGUAGGCUCUCCUGCACCCCCGCUUGCUCCCCCGCCUUCCCUGUGUCCCCCGGCUUUUCCAGGAGGAAGAUGGGGUACCCAGCGGGGGUGGGGCGCGCCGGGCCGCGGAGCCGGGCUGUCACGUGCCCCCCUCUCCCCACACCCCCCGCCACUGCGGCGGGAGUUCCAAUCAGAGCGCGCCAGGGGGCUCCUCCCGGGCAGGAACCACCCGGCUCGGCGGCGGAGGGUGGGCCGCCGUCACCUGACCGCCCGCCCCCGCCCCCCGCGAGUAAGGGGCGGUGGUAGCGUCUGCUCGGUUACAAAUGGCCCCUCCCGCCCCGCUCGCCCGCUCGCUCGGGCUCGGCGCGGACCCGCCCGGGAGCGCUCCUCCCGCCGGCUGCCGGCGUCCCGCCGCCCUGCCCGGAGCCGGCCGGCGGUCCCCGCCAACCCCCGAGGGCGCUCCUGGCACCCAGCACGGAGGCUUGCCCGCGGAGGUCGCGCCGGGAGACUGGACCGCGGUAGCGCGCGGCUUGCCUUCCCGCAGGUGAACUUUGAUAUGGUGGACGGUGACUCUUCUCCUGCAUGCGAGUGGUGGUUCAAACCAGCGAAGAGACUUCAGACCUGUGGUGACAGAGGCCUUAAAACCUCACAGGGAGACAUCCUUGGAGCUCCAUGGCCAGGAAGUGCGGGAGGAAACAGGACUUUCAAAGCAGAAAAAGCCCACCAUGUUCCUGCCCAAGCGAGGCUACGCCAGCCGAGGGUACCCUGUGCAGAGGGCCAGUGGGGCCCCAUACAGCCAGCACCUGCCACGAAGAGCGUGGCCGAGCUGCAGGUCCUGCUGUGUGGCACUGGGCUGCGGGGGACCCCACGAUCAGGCUGAAGAGUGGCUGACCCUGGAGCCCACGAGAUGGAGGAAGGUGUUCAGAGCCACAGAGGCAGGCACACGGGGUGUACUGGGGGGACGCCAGCUCCACGAGGGAGGAGGGGCAGGUGCAGAAGUGAGGAGCCAUGGGAUCUGCAACUUGUGGGCAUGAUGGGGGCCUUGGAGAGAUUAAUCCUGAUCCAACUGGCCCUCUGGAGGAAUCCCCAUGGUGUCGCUGUGCAUCAGGGCACGAGAGCCGAGAGGCAGGGAGGUGAGUGAGGAGGUCUGACAGUCAGCUGUUCAUACAGAACAGCUGUGUGCACGUCCUGAGGACGCUGGGUGCCAGCUUUCUUUUUCCGUUUUCAAACGCUUAGAAAAGACGAGUUGGACCACGCAAGUCUUAGUUUGAAUGAUACAUUCACUCAGCCAGUAUUUAUCAAGCAUCCCCUACAUGGCGAAGGCUGGGGACCCGAGAGGGAGGCUGGAAUCGAGUGGCAACAGCUCGCCGCACACUGUGUGGUAAGAACCUUCAGGAAGAGGCCCAGAGGCUUGGAAAGCACGUGACAGCAGAGUUGGGUCUGGGCUGGGGGACGGUGUCCAGGAAGUCAUGUUGGAUUGGAAAGCCGAAAGAGAAGUUGGUGUUAAACUAUGUGAAAUAGAGAAUGAGGCAUUCCAGGAGGAGGAAGCAGCUUGUGGUGGAAAGGAGUAUGGCAUGUUUGAGAAGUCAGAACAGCAGAUAAAUGGAUGGACCUAGAGUCUGUCAUACAGAGUGAAGGAAGUCAAAGAGGGAAACAAGCAUAGCAUAUUAACGCAUAUAUAUGGAAUCCAGAAAAAUGGUAUAGAUGAACCUAUUUGCAGGGCAGGACAGAGACCCAGACGCAGAGAGCAGACAUGUGGGCACGGGAUGGGGAGGGCAGUGGGCCAAGUUGGGAGAGGAGCACUGACAUAUAUGCGCCCCCACGUGUGAAACUGAUCGCGAGGGGGCGCUGCCGUGUAACAGGGAGCACAGCUCCGUGCUCUGUGAUGAGCGGAGGUGGGGCGGGCUGAGAGAGGGAGGAGACAGAUGUGAACAUAAAGCGGAUUCACGUUGUUGUACCGCAGAAACUGACAGCAUCAUAAAGCAGUUACACAUCAAUAAAAAUUUUUAAACAGAAUUCAAAAUAUAAACGAAGUCAACAGGGUGUAGACAGAGGGGAGAUGAAAGGCCGACUCUGCUGGCAUUCUGCUUCUAACCCCUGGCUGCUCUCUGUUCCCUCCGCACUCCAGAGGCAGCACGGAGGUCAGUCGGCUGGCAUGGUGCGGUGGGGCAGCUGGUGUUGUGAAUCAGGCCGUCGCCAAUCAGAGAACGGCUACUUCACAACACCAGGGUCACACCCCACCCCAGGCAGCGCUCCCAGCUCCAG
Bos grunniens (domestic yak) is the source of this 2324-nucleotide long non-coding RNA. The record is from Ensembl. NCBI's taxonomy places the organism in Eukaryota, Metazoa, Chordata, Mammalia, Artiodactyla, Bovidae.